Rhincodon typus (whale shark) is the source of this 530-nucleotide long non-coding RNA. RefSeq lists it as uncharacterized. NCBI's taxonomy places the organism in Eukaryota, Metazoa, Chordata, Chondrichthyes, Orectolobiformes, Rhincodontidae. The transcript is spliced from 2 exons. The record is from RefSeq and is a predicted model, not a curated record.
UCGGCAUCACCUCAUCUCUGCUGAAUUAGCUCAUUUUUUCCUGGGAAGCAAUAAGCUGAGAGGAGAGGAAACUGUUCUCACUGAUUAACACUACACUGUGCUAAAGUUAGUCUCAUUUCCUCCCCUCUGCUGGAUAGCCACAGCAUCAGUUACUGUUUACGAUUAUAGAGGAACAUUAUAGAAUGUUUAAAACUGAUGUGGACAUGGCUGUCUGGGCUAACACCGAGGACAAUAACCCUCGAGGAGGGGGAGGAGGAGGAGGAGGAGGACAGUGAGCUGCUGCCUUGAAGAGAAUUGCUCAGCAAUUUCAGAGACAAGUUAAGAGUCAGCCACAAUGCUGCAAGUAUGGAAUGACACAGAUACCAGACCAGAAACAUAACGACAAGUACAGAGCUGCACCAGGAGAGAUUCGACACUGCAACUGGUGCGAGGCAAACAAAACCCUGCAAUCGUACCUCUCUCUCUUCUCUCGAUGUACUCGGCUGCUUCCAGCAAAGUUUGAAUAUUAAAAAAUGCCAUUUCUCCCCAGA